RNAcentral lists this ribosomal RNA (253 nucleotides) under uncultured bacterium. RNAcentral's name for it is "partial 16S ribosomal RNA". It matches the Rfam family "Bacterial small subunit ribosomal RNA", at positions 524 to 776 of the family's 1533-position model. The record is from RNAcentral.
UACGUAGGGGGCAAGCGUUAUCCGGAUUUACUGGGUGUAAAGGGAGCGCAGACGGCAGUGCAAGUCUGGAGUGAAAGCCCGGGGCCCAACCCCGGAACUGCUCUGGAAACUGUGCGGCUAGAGUACUGGAGGGGCAGGCGGAAUUCCUAGUGUAGCGGUGAAACGCGUAGAUAUUAGGAGGAACACCAGUGGCGAAGGCGGCCUGCUGGACAGUAACUGACGUUGAGGCUCGAAAGCGUGGGGAGCAAACAGG